AUCUUCGUUGACUUCCAGUGGUUCCCGGUGUUGGUUUGUCACAUCUUCCUGGUCUCUGUCUAUCGUGAUAGACUCACGGGAGUGCCAUUUGGAAGUGAUGCAGAUAAGUGCUGUCUCGGAGUUGUCCACCAGAGGGAAUGAAUUGAUCAGUAUGAGGUCCAGUGCUGCUUCCACUUUACCUAAGGAAAAAAGCAGCAAGUGGAAAAAGUUUACUGCAGAGUUUGUGUGUGUGGCUGAUCAAAUCACCAGGUUAACCAUCUGAAGCCCUGACAGACAGCAGCAAGAACUAUGGCAUAAAGAAGCCUUCUCAGAAACAAAUAGCCCUUCUAUGAUUCUGUGAUUGUAAGUGACUACAAGCUGGAAGUCCUUCCCUUGGUGUUUGGAGCAUAACAGAAGGAAAAGAAGAGUUAUGACAAAAGCUCAGUCCUCCACAGGAAAACAAGGCUGACGUUACUAUUACCCAAACAGAUUAAGAUUCUCUUCCAUAAGCAAGUAAAGCAGAAUACAACGGAUCAACAGAAAUUGCAUGGACCAAACAGCUGACAAUAUGCUAGGUCUUCAUUACAGUUUCUCGAAGAUUUUCAUCCAUCUAGGUCUUGCAUCACAGUGGGAGCUGACCAUGGAACUGUGCAUCUGUCGCACAAGUGGAAGGAGCCAAGCCAACAGUCUUCAUUUUGGAAAAGGGUGGAGUGGAUUUUGUGCCUACCCAGCAACACACCCAGGGAAGCCCAUGAUCACUGGGGACAAGGUUAAGCCAGUUCACUGCCUGCGUUGAGUGUAAAGCCUCCCCUGCUCAGGGAAUGUCAAUCCUGCUUUCCUGAACUCCGCCUGCAGUAUCUAGAGGAAAACGGGAUUGCAUUGUCUUCCCCUGCUUGCCCCAGGAAACAUGAUAUCAUUCUCAAACAAAAGCGGGAAAGCUGACAGAUCUAUUGAGAUGGGUGUGACUACAGCACACACCUCGCUGCUCAGCCCCUGUGGAAAAGGCACUGACUGGCAGCUCUUCAGUACCGAGCUGUCUGCACUGCCCAUGUUUACAGCUAAUCUCUGCAGACAACUUUUGUUCUUCCCCUACUUCUGAUUUAACAAAUGUCCAUUGCCUGCUGUGUCGGUUAGGUGUAUGUUUUGAUGUAGAGGAAGAGCAGAAACAAGGAAAAAGAUCUGGGAUAACUGGACUUCCUUUUCUUCUCUUUCAUGCUGCUUACAGCACCAGGUUGUCCCCUUUCAAGUGAAAAGCUGGAGUGAUCUGAAGGCUAAAUAGGCUGAAUCAAUGUGCACAAUUAAAAGCUACAAAAGAGGAUUUGGUAAACAAUAUGUAGACUAUUACGUCAAAGGCUAGAUAAGAAUACUACCAAACAUAUACUCAACAGAUAAACACAUAUUUUUGCCUGUAUUAAUCUCUAGCCUUUUAUAGGUGCCAAAAGUAAAAUUGCAAACUCAUUUGUUCACAAUUUCUCUUAGGUAUUUGCAUGUGGCUAAUCCAGAAGAUUUGUGAAUUUUAAAGCUAGUUACACAGCAAUGGGGACUUCUGCUUUUUCUUGCCACUUUCUGGUUUUUCUUGCAGGACAACCUGCAGCUUUAUAGCACAUUACUUUUUGCUUGA
Molecule: long non-coding RNA, 1600 nt
Organism: Melopsittacus undulatus (budgerigar)
Lineage: Eukaryota; Metazoa; Chordata; Aves; Psittaciformes; Psittaculidae
Exons: 6
Source: RefSeq, a predicted model, not a curated record